This 253-nucleotide ribosomal RNA is filed under the name uncultured bacterium. RNAcentral describes it as "partial 16S ribosomal RNA". It matches the Rfam family "Bacterial small subunit ribosomal RNA", at positions 524 to 776 of the family's 1533-position model. The record is from RNAcentral.
UACGUAGGGUGCGAGCGUUGUCCGGAAUUAUUGGGCGUAAAGGGCUCGUAGGCGGUUUGUCGCGUCGGGAGUGAAAACCAUGGGCUUAACUCAUGGCUUGCUUCCGAUACGGGCAGACUAGAGGCAUGCAGGGGAGAACGGAAUUCCUGGUGUAGCGGUGAAAUGCGCAGAUAUCAGGAGGAACACCGGUGGCGAAGGCGGGUCUCUGGGCAGUAACUGACGCUGAGGAACGAAAGCGUGGGUAGCGAACAGG